RNAcentral lists this ribosomal RNA (494 nucleotides) under uncultured bacterium. RNAcentral describes it as "partial 16S ribosomal RNA". It matches the Rfam family "Bacterial small subunit ribosomal RNA", at positions 28 to 507 of the family's 1533-position model. The record is from RNAcentral.
GACGAACGCUGGCGGCGCGCUUAACACAUGCAAGUCGAACGGAAAGGCCUGCUUUCCCUUGUGGAUUGCGGGUACUCGAGUGGCGAACGGGUGAGUAACACGUGAGUGAUCUGCCCCCAACUUGGGUAUAAGCCUGGGAAACUGGGUCUAAUUCCCGAUAGGACUGCAGGGUGGUGCCUGUGGUGGAAAACGAUUUUCUAGUGGUUGGGGAUGAGCUCGCGGCCUAUCAGCUUGUUGGUGGGGUAAUGGCCUACCAAGGCGGCGACGGGUAGCCGGCCUGAGAGGGUGGACGGCCACAUUGGGACUGAGAUACGGCCCAGACUCCUACGGGAGGCAGCAGUGGGGAAUAUUACACAAUGGGCGGAAGCCUGGUGCAGCGACGCCGCGUGGGGGAUGACGGCCUUCGGGUUGUAAACUCCUUUCGACCGCGAGGAAGCCACCUGGUUGGAAGGGUGGUGACGGUAGUGGUAGAAGAAGCACCGGCUAACUACGUG